AUACGGAGGGUGCAAGCGUUACUAGGAAUCACUGGGCGUAAAGGACGCGUAGGCGGGUUUGUAAGUCAGGUGUGAAAUCCUACAGCUUAACUGUAGAACUGCACUUGAAACUACAGACCUAGAGUAUGGGAGGGGCAGAUGGAAUUAGUGGUGUAGGGGUAAAAUCCGUAGAUAUCACUAGGAAUACCGAAAGCGAAGGCGAUCUGCUGGAACAUAACUGACGCUAAGGCGUGAAAGCGUGGGGAGCGAACAGGAUUAGAAACCCUAGUAGUCC
RNAcentral lists this ribosomal RNA (274 nucleotides) under uncultured bacterium. Its description in RNAcentral is "partial 16S ribosomal RNA". It matches the Rfam family "Bacterial small subunit ribosomal RNA", at positions 523 to 796 of the family's 1533-position model. The record is from RNAcentral.